UUUUUUUUUUUUUUUAAAGAUUUAUUUAUUUAUUCAUUCAGAGAGAGCCACAAGAGAGGCAGAGACACAGGCAGAGGGAGAAGCAGGCUCCAUGCAGGGAGCCCAAUGUGGGACUCAAUCCUGGGUCUCCAGGAUCACACCCCAGGCUGCAGGCGGCGCUAAACCGCUGCACCACCAGGGCUACCCCCUCCUUUAAGUUUUUAAAUCACCUAUAGUGGAAAAGUAAUUACAUGUUGUUUAUAGGACACUAGUCAAAUUUAUUCACCGAGUUUUCCUUUAUUCCAUCCCUUACCACUUUUAUUCAUAGAAUCAUAAAUUUGAGAGUGACAUCAGAGAUAAUUCAACUUUCCACAUAAUGCAAACACUAAUCUCUUAAAAAAUCCACACCAAUUAGCUGCUAAGCCAGUAUUUAUUGUGAUAAGGUACAACGGAGCCUAUUCCAGAGGGUUUAAGCAGAAAAGAAAUUUACCAAGGAUAUCAGACAACUCACAGAAUCUUCAGGAGAGUCCCGGGAACCCGCAAGGGAGGCCGUGCAGGCAGCAGAGUAAUAUUAGUGCUGGAUUGCUCAUGUGGAAACCCUACUGUUGAUACCAUUGGGCACAGGCUCCUCAGGACACUGGAGCAGAAGCAAAUGUGUUGUUGCUUCCCAAAGCUGACUGCCUCUUCAGGGUUUCUCUGGGAUGGCUUUCCUGCUGGCACUCUCUUGGCUCUAAAUUGGCAGUCUCCAACAUGGUGGUUUCAUGUUGGCUUCCAAUCAGAUGGAUCUAAGGGAUAUGUGCAUGCUAACAUCAAGGGAAGCUGUGACAAAGGGUUUUUGGCUACUACUCUGAGGAUGCAGGUUUCACAAUUUAGAAAACUCCCCAAAUGUUGGAAGGUGUUCAAGAAUUCAAAGAGAGCCAAAAGAAUGACUAAUUAUCCUAAAGAAGUUCAUUUAUCAUUGGGCUCCUUUAGCAUUUUGAAUGAACUAACGACUUCUUGUAAAUAGCAUUUUUCAUCAACAUUUGAGUCAUGCUCCCUCUUCACUACACCAUGUGUCUGCAAUAUCUGAACACAGCUAUCAAAAUUUCUUGAGGUUUUUUUCUUCUUGCCAAAUAUCUCCAAUUUUUUCAAAUGUUAACUUUAGCACAGGAUUUCAGUCCCCUUGAAAAUCAAACAUCUGUCCUCCAGCAGCCUCUUUUAUAUCGUGUAUCUGAAUUGACAAUUCCAAUUAUAAGGGCUGAGGGUAGGAAAUUAUAGGUAUAUUUAUAUAUGUAACACACACACAUAUAUAUAUAAAGCUGAGGAUACUAUGCACAAUGUACCAUGACUUCCUAAAGGAAGUCAAGAAGAUUUGACCUUCUUUCAGUAAGGUUUAUUAGGAAGUUGCCAAGUGUGACUUGGCCCAAUAACUUCCCCUGUCUCUGACUGCAGAAGACAAAAUACUCCAAAGACUCCAAAAUUCUAGAAUGACUAUUAGAAUUAUAAGUUACAGGCCACCAGGGAGAAAAGUAUUUUGACUUUUCCUCUCCUUCCUCAUUAAACUGGGGAUGAAAAGCAUGAGUAUCUAUAAAUACUUAAAAUCACAGAGCAGUUGUACUGGUGUGGUGGUUUCUGAUACAGUGUCUCAGAUGAUGAUUAUGAACAAUCCCAGGGCAAGCUAGGUCACCACCAAUUUAUUGUUAAGAAGCUUGUGACUUGUUUUAGUCACAAGAUGGAACCCACACUUGAACUCACGUCUUUUGGCUUCAGAGUCCUGGGCAUUUCCAGUAUUUUAUACUUCCAGGAAAAGGAGUGAGAGAGCCUGGGAGGAAGAGCAAAAGGCCAAGGGACAUAGCUCUUGGAAUUUACUCAGCAUGCUGACCUUUCUAGUAAAUCAUCUAUUCUCAAUGCAUUGAAAACACCUGGCUAAAAUCCAUUUGCAAUGGGAACUCAUGAGUCCACAGGGAGGAUUUGCUUGCAUCAAAGUCGAUAUAACUGUGUUUAUUUUACCAUAAUACACUAUGGCAUUAUUUGUAACAAAAUAUCACAAACUAGAUAGCUUAAAACAACAGAAAUUUAUUUUCUCACAUUCUGGAGGCCAAAGUAUCAUUGGGCUGAAAUCAAGGUGUCAACAGGAAUACACUCCCUCUUGAGGCUUUAGAGGAGAAUCCAUUUUUUUUGCCUCUCCUAACUCACAGCCACAUGACUCCAAUCUUUGCCUCCAUGGUCACACUGCCUCCUCCUCCUCUAUCUCCUUCUGCCUCUCUUUUAUAAGGACAUUUGUGACCUGACCAUGUUUAGAACUCAUCCUAAUAAUCCAGGAUUAUUUCUCCAUCUCAAGAUCCUUAAUUUAACCAAUCUACAAAAAUACAGCAUUUAAAAACUCCAAGGGUUAAGAUCUGAUAUAUUUGCAUGGCCCCCUAUGACUACAUUUCCCCUUUUUAUCCUGUAUUAUAUAAUUUGUUUUUAUAAAAGCAAUGGGUAUUUUUUUACAGAAAAUUAGACUAUACAGAUAAGCAAAGAAGAAAAUUAUAAAUUACCUUAAUUCUACCCCCACCCCUGGGACUUAAGCACUGUUAAUAUUCUGGUACCUACCUCUACCUCUGUGAACAUACAUUUGCAUAUAGGUUUCAUUAAACUUUUGAAAACCCAGCUGAUGGUGCCUGGGUGGCUCAGUUGGUUAAGCGCCUGCCUUCGGCUCAGGUCAUGAUCCCAGGAUCCUGCAAUGGAGCUUUGCAUUAGGCUCCCUGCUCCGUGACGAGUCUUCCUCUCCCUCUCCCUCUCCCUCUGCUGCUCUCCCUGCUUGUGGUC
RNAcentral lists this long non-coding RNA (2769 nucleotides) under Canis lupus familiaris (dog). Its description in RNAcentral is "lncRNA (ENSCAFG00845013248.1)". The record is from RNAcentral. Lineage: Eukaryota; Metazoa; Chordata; Mammalia; Carnivora; Canidae.